RNAcentral lists this unclassified non-coding RNA (252 nucleotides) under Hevea brasiliensis (rubber tree). The record is from RNAcentral. Lineage: Eukaryota; Viridiplantae; Streptophyta; Magnoliopsida; Malpighiales; Euphorbiaceae.
AUUUAAACAAAAAAAAAAGCUCAAUUUAUUAAUGGUAAUUUUUUUUUCCAUUUUUAGAUUUGGUAAAUGAUCUGCUUUAGUUGAACUUUUGACCUUUAGUCCUUGCUCUUUUCUGGUUUAUUGCUGACUGCAUUUUAUAUCAAAGAAACAUAGGCAUCAAUUCUUCAAUUUUGGAAUAAAAUGCAAAAAUGUGGUUGAUUGUUCUUUUCCCUGAUUUGUCCGAAGCAGUGAAUGAUCGCUUCUGCACAAAUA